This 690-nucleotide ribosomal RNA is filed under the name uncultured Bacteroidota bacterium. Its description in RNAcentral is "bacterial SSU rRNA". It matches the Rfam family "Bacterial small subunit ribosomal RNA", at positions 62 to 753 of the family's 1533-position model. The record is from RNAcentral. Lineage: Bacteria; Pseudomonadati; Bacteroidota.
UCGAGGGGUAUAGGUUUUCGGACCUAGAGACCGGCGCACGGGUGCGUAACGCGUAUGCAAUCUACCUUUCACAGAGGGAUAGCCCAGAGAAAUUUGGAUUAAUACCUCAUAGUAUAAUGAGUUGGCAUCAACACAUUAUUAAAGUCACAACGGUGAAAGAUGAGCAUGCGUCCCAUUAGCUUGUUGGUAAGGUAACGGCUUACCAAGGCUACGAUGGGUAGGGGUCCUGAGAGGGAGAUCCCCCACACUGGUACUGAGACACGGACCAGACUCCUACGGGAGGCAGCAGUGAGGAAUAUUGGACAAUGGGCGCAAGCCUGAUCCAGCCAUGCCGCGUGCAGGAUGACGGUCCUAUGGAUUGUAAACUGCUUUUGCACAGGAAGAAACAACUCUACGUGUAGAGUCUUGACGGUACUGUGAGAAUAAGGAUCGGCUAACUCCGUGCCAGCAGCCGCGGUAAUACGGAGGAUCCAAGCGUUAUCCGGAAUCAUUGGGUUUAAAGGGUCCGUAGGCGGUUUAGUAAGUCAGUGGUGAAAGCCCAUCGCUCAACGGUGGAACGGCCAUUGAUACUGCUAAACUUGAAUUAUUAGGAAGUAACUAGAAUAUGUAGUGUAGCGGUGAAAUGCUUAGAGAUUACAUGGAAUACCAAUUGCGAAGGCAGGUUACUACUAAUGGAUUGACGCUGAUGGA